UUCCCUCUCUCCGCCCCCCGUCCCGACGGCGCGUCCACGUUCGCGGCCGGCGCAAUUGUGGAUAUCAACGGCGACAUGACGUCCUUUCAUGUUGAUGCCCCGCCGUCCCGGACGGGGCCGGGCUUGUAAAUGAAAGCGUGUCGCGAUCGGCCCGUCGAACGGUAAGCGAUUAAUUCACGUUCAACUUAAUAAAUAUCGGAGACAUAACCUAGACCCGAUUCGAACCCGACUGAACUCCGGCCACGUCGAGAUUGUUGUUCUUCCGGCGGACGCGACGAAUAUCGUGGAUCCAACGCAACGGAAAGUCUAACCUAAGUUCUAACCUAAUACACGCCAAUGUCAGAUCUAACCUAAGUUGAGCAUAACAGAAGUCGAAGCUAGCCCGAGCUGGCAAUCUAAGUUCGAGUUAACCCAAGUUAGUAAUCUAAGUUUAUCCUAACGUAAAUUGUACCUUUAAUUUGUUUAGAUAGUUGUUCAGUUGAACAGAACGUAUCUCGUGGACCACUCAUAACAUAAACUCGGAUGUAACGCGCAGUUAGGUCGGAUCUGAUAUACGUCACUGCGCAGCGAGACAUAACCAGAUUCGAACCCGACCGAGCUCAAGCCACGUCGAGAUUGUCGCUGCGAUUUGUUUAAACAGUUCUUCCGAUAAAUAUUGUGGAUCUAACGCAACGGAAAGUUAGGUCUAAUAUGCGCCGAUAUCAGAUCUAGCCUAAGUCGGACGUAACAGAAGUCGGAGCUAGCCUGAAUGGUUGUUCAGUUGAACAUAACGUAUCUCGUGGACCAUUCAUAACAUAAGCUAGGAUGUAACGCGCAGUUAAGUCGGACCUGAUAUGAGACACUGCUGAACCAAACAUAACCUAAGAGAAGCCCGACUGAAAUUAAUUGCAGCUUAAAUCGAAUGUAACUCACCGGUUCAAAUUCAGGGGGAAAUCUCCCGCUUCUAAUUUCUAAAAAUUGAAAACGAUCUCUUAAUUUUAUCAAGAUUUGCAAGAGGCACGAAUGUUGAAGAAGUUUUUGGCUCGGUCCAAAAUGCGUUCUUUUUUGUAUUCUUGUUUGUCUAAAAAAGAACAAUGAAAAUACUUAAUCAGGAUGCGUUUUGCUAUCACAAGAAUCACGAAGGAAAAGAUUGAUAACUAAAAAAAAUGGCAGUAUUUUGAUGUGGCGCGGUCUAUAGGGACCGAAUAUACGAUCAAAUAUUUUGUCAAAAUAAAUAACGACCAAAUGAAAA
Molecule: non-coding RNA, 1231 nt
Organism: Megalopta genalis
Lineage: Eukaryota; Metazoa; Arthropoda; Insecta; Hymenoptera; Halictidae
Source: RefSeq, a predicted model, not a curated record